This 496-nucleotide ribosomal RNA is filed under the name uncultured bacterium. RNAcentral's name for it is "partial 16S ribosomal RNA". It matches the Rfam family "Bacterial small subunit ribosomal RNA", at positions 28 to 506 of the family's 1533-position model. The record is from RNAcentral.
GAUGAACGCUGGCGGCGUGCCUAAUACAUGCAAGUCGAGCGAACGGACGAGAAGCUUGCUUCUCUGAUGUUAGCGGCGGACGGGUGAGUAACACGUGGAUAACCUACCUAUAAGACUGGGAUAACUUCGGGAAACCGUAGCUAAUACCGGAUAAUAUUUUGAACCGCAUGGUUCAAAAGUGAAAGACGGUCUUGCUGUCACUUAUAGAUGGAUCCGCGCUGCAUUAGCUAGUUGGUAAGGUAACGGCUUACCAAGGCAACGAUGCAUAGCCGACCUGAGAGGGUGAUCGGCCACACUGGAACUGAGACACGGUCCAGACUCCGACGGGAGGCAGCAGUAGGGAAUCUUCCGCAAUGGGCGAAAGCCUGACGGAGCAACGCCGCGUGAGUGAUGAAGGUCUUCGGAUCGUAAAACGCUGUUAUUAGGGAAGAACAUAUGUGUAAGUAACUGUGCACAUCUUGACGGUACCUAAUCAGAAAGCCACGGCUAACUACGU